CUGGUCUCAAACUCCUGACCUUGCGAUCCGCCCACCUCAGCCUCUCAAAGUGCUGGGAUUACAGGCGUGAGCCACCGCGCCCAGUCGUUAUUUUCCUUUCAUUGUUGACCAGGCUCACUCAGUUUUUCCUGUGAAAGUUAGGCACUGAUCAGGACAAAGCAUGCCCCUGGGAAACUGGAGCCCACACGCAUGUCUACAUCCAGUGGUCAGUUCUCUGUCUACCUUCCCUGACCCUCCAGCUUCAGUGACAGGGUGGGACACUCCCGCUUCCAUCACACACUCCUCACACUGCUGCUUCUCAAGCUGCACUUUUUUUUUUUUUUUUUUUUUUUUUUUUGAGAUGGAGUCUCACUCUGCUGCCCAGGCUGGAGUGCAGUGGUGUGAUCUUGGCUCACUGCAACCUCCGCCUCCUGGGGUUCAAGUGAUUCUCCUGCCUCAGCCUCCCAAAUAGCUGGGACUACAGGCACACGCCAUCAUGCCCAACUAAUUUUUGUAUUUUUAGUAGAGAUGGGGUUUCACCAUAUUGGUCAGGCUGGUCUCGAACUCCUGACCUCAGGUGAUCCACCCGCCUCAGCCUCCCAAAAUGCUGGGAUUACAGACCUGACUACUGUGCUGGACCGGGCAUUACAUUUUGAACCCACCUUCAACUGCCAACCCCAAUCCACAGCUUGCUUCCCCCACGGGCUUCCACAUGUCCAUAAGUGGCAACUCCAGACCUUGGGAUUAUCUCUCUCUCACAUGCCUUCAUCCAAAUCGUCAGCCAAACUUGGCUCUACCUGAAAAGUAUAUGCAGAAUCCAACCACUUCUCGGCAGCUCCAUCAGGAGCUCAUUGUCUCUCACAUUGCAGCAGCCUCCAGAUAAGUGACCUGGCUUCCACUCAGCCCCAUUUCAGAUCGAGUCUUGAUUCUGCAGCAGCCAGAGGAGUUCUUUUUAAACGUUUAUCAGAUCAAGUCACUCUGCUCAAAACCCUUUCCCGGGCCCCCCAUUUCCAAGGCCCCACAUAUUCUGUAUCCCAUGACCUCUCUGACCUGGUCUUCCUCCUCCUCGUCUCUCUUCUCCAGCCCCACCAGCCUCUUCUGUGUUUUUUGACUGGGCAUAGCCACACUCAGAGCCUUUGCAUUGGCUAUGGGAUGCUCCAUGGCCUCCUUCAGCCUUUGGUCACCUUCUCAGUGAGGCCUGCUUGCAACCCCCUCCCAUGCCCGUUCCCUCCAUCCCAGCACCCUAUAUACUCUGUGUUUUACUUAUUUGCUUACUGUAUCUCCUACCACUAGAACAUUCUCUCUCUGACAGCAGGGUAGUGCUUACUCCUGUAUCCCCACUGCUUGGCACAUGGUGGGCACUUAAUAAAUGUGCUGAAUCAGCUAGGCAUUGUGGCUUAUGCCUGUAUUCUGAGUACUUUGUGAGGCCAAGGUGGGAGGAUCACUUGAGGCCGUGGGUUUGAGGCCAGCCUGGGCAACAAAGUGAGACCCCCAUCGCUACAAAAACAAUAUUUUAAAUAAAAAAAAAAAAAAAAAAAAAAAAACAGGCGGGGUGCAGUGGCUCACAACUGUAAUCCCAACACUUUGGGAGGCUGAGGUGGGCAGAUUGUUUCCACCGAGGAGUUCGUGACCAGCCUGGGCAACAUGGCAAAACCCCACCUCUACAAAAAGAAAAAAAAAUUAGCUGGUUGUGGUGGUGUGCACCUGUAGUCCAGCUACCAGGGAGGCUGAGGUGGGAGGAUCACCUGAACCCAGGAGGUUGAGGCUGCAGUAAGCUGAGAUCACAUCACUGCACUCUGGCCUGGGGAACAGAAUGUAACUCUCUCAAAAACAAACACAAAAAAUGCAAAGAACCCCCACAAGUAUGAAAUUAAUGACUGAAGUGGAAUGAAGAUACAUGAAAGAAUUCAGAGGAAUUAGAUCCCCACCAACCCCUAGCCUCUUCUGCACCUCCUUUGCCUGCUGAAGCAAUGUGUCCUCCCCUGAAAGACACCAUGGACAUCAUGAAGGAGUUACCCUGUAAGAGGAAGCUAACUCUUCUCAUGGCCCCUCCUCCCAAUUCCUUAUGAUUUCCAGAGCUUUUAACUAGAGAGAUAUUUCAGCAUGUCUGGAGACCCUUUCACAAAGUCAAGCCCAGAGCAGGAGGCUCACAUAUCAAAAGAGUUGCAAGACUGUUAUUUUAUGUUGGCCAAAAUAUAGAGAAUAUGUGUGGGAACAGACUGAAGUCCUAGACCAAGGAGAUAAGAACAUAAGUUUAUAUUGGGCUGAAUUUAUCAAUAUGGGUGCACUUAGCAAGGAUUUGGAUUCCAUGCACCAGCUCAAGCUGUUGGGGGUUGUUCCACACGUCUAUUUGGUUGGCUGAAUAAAAACUGGAUCCCAGCCGGGCGCGGUGGCUCACUCCUGUAAUCCCAGCACUUUGG
This 2399-nucleotide long non-coding RNA is filed under the name Homo sapiens (human). RNAcentral describes it as "non-protein coding lnc-ATRIP-5:1". The record is from RNAcentral. Lineage: Eukaryota; Metazoa; Chordata; Mammalia; Primates; Hominidae.